This is a long non-coding RNA of Alosa sapidissima (American shad), 958 nucleotides long. RefSeq lists it as uncharacterized. Lineage: Eukaryota; Metazoa; Chordata; Actinopteri; Clupeiformes; Clupeidae. The transcript is spliced from 4 exons. The record is from RefSeq and is a predicted model, not a curated record.
CAACGAGUGAAGCUCCGGAGCAAAGACGCAGACAUGGCCGACAGCACUCACUGAAACAGCCAAGGUGGAAAUGCUAUGGAGACAUAGGUGUUGAACAGCAUAUUUGAGCCUGAAUCAGAGGAAGAAUCUGAAAUAGACGAGCAACCAGUCGCCCAUAGAUUGGAAAUGACUACUUCAGAGUGAUGUCCAGUUAGAAGCUAGCUGAAAAGUUCGUAGCCAGUCGUGGGCAGUUCAGGCUAUGCUGUAGUGAAAGGAGUGCUGCUUGCAAGGAAAGUACUCGUUUUAGUCAGUUAUUAAAAGAAUGACCCAGGUUCCUGAGGAGCUGACCUGAAUGACCAUCAUGGCCUCGAUCCGUUGUGCCUCUAUAUUCUUUGCAAAAUGCAAUGAAUAUUUACAGAGCUGACCAUGGCCGUUUGAGAAUCAGAGGAAUGGAAAGGCAAUGAAGUGACUUGGCCUACAGGUCUUUUGUGAGCAGGAGCUGGGGUUUCCUUAGAAGAAGCGUCCGUGUCAUGAUCCCCUCGUGUGUGGUGCUACGCAUAUGGAGGGAGCUUCCGGAUACUUCAGGGCAGUACGUUGGAUUCAGACCCCUUUUCGACUGAACCGUGACACAUGUUCAGCAACAGCAUCCUCCAUGGAAGGUCUGUCAAGCUGAGCACACAAGUCCUGGGGCACAGGAAUCCGCUGGACGGCAUCCCAAUAAGGAAGAGGGUCUUUGAUCUCGAAGAGGACAAGAAAGAGGACUUAUAUUGGAUAAUGUAAUACAGUGCAUUGUAGGCUGUAUACUGUACAAUAAACAAAUUGUAUGGCCCUGAACAUUGUGCUUUGUUUACAGUACUGAUGAUGAUUUCGACACCAGUAGCAUCAGGUCUAAGACAGCCUGUUGUGUGUGAAUCGAUAAGUUCUUUUUAGUGCCUAUACUGUUGCACAUUUUGAUUUGUUGUUUGUAAUAAAAAUAUAU